RNAcentral lists this ribosomal RNA (492 nucleotides) under uncultured bacterium. RNAcentral describes it as "partial 16S ribosomal RNA". It matches the Rfam family "Bacterial small subunit ribosomal RNA", at positions 29 to 507 of the family's 1533-position model. The record is from RNAcentral.
AGUGAACGCUGGCGGUAGGCCUAACACAUGCAAGUCGAAUGUCAGCACAGUAAGAGCUUGCUCUUCCGGGUGGCGAGUGGCGGACGGGUGAGGAAUACAUUGGACUCUAGUUUUUCGUGGGGUAUAACGUAGGGAAACUUACCCUAAUACCGCAUACGUCCUACGGCUGAAAGCAGGGAAUCUUCGCCCCUUGCGCGAUUGAAUGAGCCGAUGUCGGAUUAGCUUGUUUGCGGGGUAAAGGCCCACCAAGGCGACGAUCCGUAGCCGGUCGUAGAGGAUGAGCAGCCACACUGGAACGGAGACACGCUCCAGACUCCUACGGGAGGCAGCAGUGGGGAAUAGUGAACAAUGGGCGCAAGCCUUAUCCAGCCAUACCGCGAGGAUGAAGAAGGCCUUCGGGUUGUAAAACCCAUUUGGUGGGAAAGAAAAGCAGCAGGUUAAGACCCCGCGGUUCUGACGGUACCCAAAGAAGAAGCAACGGCUAACUUCGUG